RNAcentral lists this ribosomal RNA (323 nucleotides) under uncultured eukaryote. RNAcentral's name for it is "partial 18S ribosomal RNA". It matches the Rfam family "Eukaryotic small subunit ribosomal RNA", at positions 1470 to 1796 of the family's 1831-position model. The record is from RNAcentral.
CCCUUAGAUGUUCUGGGCUGCACGCGUGCUACACUGAUAUUGCCAAUAUGUCAUUCUUAUCCGAAAUGGAUUGGGUAAUCAAGUAAUGAAAUUUCAUGCUUGGAAUCGGUAAUUGCAAUUUUAUCGUGAACGAGGAAUUCCUAGUAAGCACUAGUCAUCAGCUAAUGUUGAUUAUGUCCCUGCCCUUUGUACACACCGCCCAUCGCUACUACUGAUUGGGUGUUCAAGUGAGAUGCUUAGACCCUUGUUGCAUGGUUCAUUAUUGUGCUCCGAAAGGAAAAAGUUUCAAGCUUGAGUGUCUAGAGGAAGUAAAAGUCGUAACA